This 599-nucleotide ribosomal RNA is filed under the name uncultured bacterium. Its description in RNAcentral is "bacterial SSU rRNA". It matches the Rfam family "Bacterial small subunit ribosomal RNA", at positions 317 to 917 of the family's 1533-position model. The record is from RNAcentral.
AACUGAGACACGGUCCAAACUCCUACGGGAGGCAGCAGUGAGGAAUAUUGGUCAAUGGGCGAGAGCCUGAACCAGCCAAGUAGCGUGCAGGAUGACGGCCCUAUGGGUUGUAAACUGCUUUUGUAUGGGGAUAAAGUCAGUCACGUGUGAUUGUUUGCAGGUACCAUACGAAUAAGGACCGGCUAAUUCCGUGCCAGCAGCCGCGGUAAUACGGAAGGUCCGGGCGUUAUCCGGAUUUAUUGGGUUUAAAGGGAGCGUAGGCUGGAGAUUAAGUGUGUUGUGAAAUGUAGACGCUCAACGUCUGACUUGCAGCGCAUACUGGUUUCCUUGAGUACGCACAACGUUGGCGGAAUUCGUCGUGUAGCGGUGAAAUGCUUAGAUAUGACGAAGAACUCCGAUUGCGAAGGCAGCUGACGGGAGCGCAACUGACGCUGAAGCUCGAAGGUGCGGGUAUCGAACAGGAUUAGAUACCCUGGUAGUCCGCACAGUAAACGAUGGAUGCCCGCUGUUGGUACUUGGUAUCAGCGGCUAAGCGAAAGCAUUAAGCAUCCCACCUGGGGAGUACGCCGGCAACGGUGAAACUCAAAGGAAUUGACGGG